RNAcentral lists this ribosomal RNA (41 nucleotides) under Tulasnella sp. 184. RNAcentral describes it as "partial 18S ribosomal RNA". The record is from RNAcentral. Lineage: Eukaryota; Fungi; Basidiomycota; Agaricomycetes; Cantharellales; Tulasnellaceae.
CGUACAAAGGUUUCCGUAGGUGAACCUGCGGAAGGAUCAUG